CGUUCUGUGGCUUAGUAGGUUAAAGCGCCGGUCUAGCGAAUACGAAGUUGUUUGUUCGAAUCCCACCAGAACAC
Aedes albopictus (Asian tiger mosquito) is the source of this 74-nucleotide non-coding RNA. NCBI's taxonomy places the organism in Eukaryota, Metazoa, Arthropoda, Insecta, Diptera, Culicidae. The record is from Rfam.